UAGGGAAUCUUCCGCAAUGGGCGAAAGCCUGACGGAGCAACGCCGCGUGAGUGAUGAAGGUCUUCGGAUCGUAAAACUCUGUUAUUAGGGAAGAACAAAUGUGUAAGUAACUAUGCACGUCUUGACGGUUCCUAAUCAGAAAGCCACGGCUAACUACGUGCCAGCAGCCGCGGUAAUACGUAGGUGGCAAGCGUUAUCCGGAAUUAUUGUGCGUAAAGCGCGCGUAGGCGGUUUUUUAAGUAUGAUGUGAAAGCCCACGGCUCAACCGUGGAGGGUCAUUGGAAACUGGAAAGCUUGAGUGCAGAAGAGGAAAGUGGAAUUCCAUGUGUAGCGGUGAAAUGCGCAGAGAUAUGGAGGAACACCAGUGGCGAAGGCGACUUUCUGGUCUGUAACUGACGCUGAUGUGCGAAAGCGGGGGGAUCAAACAGG
RNAcentral lists this ribosomal RNA (429 nucleotides) under Actinomycetes bacterium. RNAcentral's name for it is "Actinobacteria bacterium partial 16S ribosomal RNA". It matches the Rfam family "Bacterial small subunit ribosomal RNA", at positions 355 to 776 of the family's 1533-position model. Lineage: Bacteria; Bacillati; Actinomycetota; Actinomycetes. The record is from RNAcentral.